UACGAAGGGGGCUAGCGUUAAUCGGAAUUACUGGGCGUAAAGCGUGCGCAGGCGGCGCGUUAAGACAGGUGUGAAAGCCCCGAGCUUAACUUGGGAAUUGCGCUUGUGACUGGCGGGCUGGAGUGUGGCAGAGGGAGGUGGAAUUCCACGUGUAGCAGUGAAAUGCGUAGAGAUGUGGAGGAACACCGAUGGCGAAGGCAGCCUCCUGGGCCAGCACUGACGCUCAUGCACGAAAGCGUGGGGAGCAAACAGG
This 253-nucleotide ribosomal RNA is filed under the name uncultured bacterium. RNAcentral describes it as "partial 16S ribosomal RNA". It matches the Rfam family "Bacterial small subunit ribosomal RNA", at positions 524 to 776 of the family's 1533-position model. The record is from RNAcentral.